GGUUUCUUAGUGUAGCAGUUGGUAUGUCUGCUUUACACGCAAAGGGUCCUGGGUUCAAGCCCCAGUGGAGCCA
RNAcentral lists this transfer RNA (73 nucleotides) under Pteropus alecto (black flying fox). It matches the Rfam family "tRNA". Rfam says of the family: Transfer RNA (tRNA) molecules are approximately 80 nucleotides in length. Their secondary structure includes four short double-helical elements and three loops (D, anti-codon, and T loops). Further hydrogen bonds mediate the characteristic L-shaped molecular structure. tRNAs have two regions of fundamental functional importance: the anti-codon, which is responsible for specific mRNA codon recognition, and the 3' end, to which the tRNAs corresponding amino acid is attached (by aminoacyl-tRNA synthetases). tRNAs cope with the degeneracy of the genetic code in two manners: having more than one tRNA (with a specific anti-codon) for a particular amino acid; and 'wobble' base-pairing, i.e. permitting non-standard base-pairing at the 3rd anti-codon position. Lineage: Eukaryota; Metazoa; Chordata; Mammalia; Chiroptera; Pteropodidae. The record is from Rfam by way of RNAcentral.